CAAACCACAGUCGCCAUCUUGGGUAGUUAAUAAACGUUGCUUAGAUACGCAUCGCCAACGUUUAGUGAAUCUUAUCAAAAAAUACUUUUCGUCAGUCGUUGACGUUUCGCGAAAAUAUUGUUUUUGACACUUUUUUAUGAUAUACUUUUUGUUAUGUGUUUUUUCUUUAAACCUAAGAUUGGCCGAUUGCGAUAAAAACCAUAGAAAGAAGAAUAAUAACCAUAACCUCAAAGUCGAAGUUUUAGUUCAAAUGUCAUUUAGUUGUUCAAAUGUCAUUGUCAUUCACUUUGUUUGGAUUACACACGUCAUGCCGAAAAUCGUAAGUAUUUCAUAAAAUGUUUCGUUGGUCGUGUCUCUGUCUUCGUUUAGUCUUUUGUUUGAUGAUACCUAUAUCAUUUUGUUAACAGCCGAAUCUCCGUGCAUUUGGUAAACAUUGUCACAAUUGUGGAAAGUGGAUGGAGCGAAGGGCUCUUCGUAAAGAUGUGACAUGCAAUUUUUGUAAUGGCAAAAUAUUUGCAAGAGAUGGCAAACAAAAGCAAAUGUGCAGUCGGUGUGUGGAAUGCGACAACAUUAUACUCGCUAAGCGGCUCAAUAUUUUUUCUCUAUAAUUCGACAAAUAAUAAUAAAUGACCACACGCAUAGCCUGUGUUGAGGUGUCAUGAACACAUAUAAAACAGACACGAUUUUUUCACCGUUUUUCUCGAUAAUGAAAUGAACCCCUUCAUGCGCAAGUUCUACUUGAACUUGGCUGGCUCUUAUUAUACAAUAGACAUUAUUAAUUGUAUAAUAUAUUUUUGCAGAUAAUUUCAAUUAUUGCGAGUGCUGUGGCUGUAAAAUGAAAAAUAAUACUUAUUACCAGAUAGAGAUGUCGAUAACGAAGAGUUGAAUGUUAGAACUUAUGAAAAUAUUAUUUACAACUCAUUUCGAGAAGCUGCUCAAGCAAGAAGGCUCCUUUUUGAUGAUCAAGAAUGGGAAAGAUGUUUGAAUGAAGCAAUUGAUUUUAAACUUCCUCGGCAAUUAUUUCGAGUUCGAAGAUUCGAUGAUGUAAAUAUUCAAAUUAUCAAUACCACUGAACAAGGCUUGAA
Molecule: long non-coding RNA, 1085 nt
Organism: Helicoverpa zea (corn earworm)
Lineage: Eukaryota; Metazoa; Arthropoda; Insecta; Lepidoptera; Noctuidae
Exons: 3
Source: RefSeq, a predicted model, not a curated record